UGAGUUUGAUCAUGGCUCAGAUUGAACGCUGGCGGCAGGCCUAACACAUGCAAGUCGAGCGGUAACAUGUCUAGCUUGCUAGAUGAUGACGAGCGGCGGACGGGUGAGUAAUGCUUGGGGAUCUGCCUUAGAGUGGAGGAUAACCAUUGGAAACGAUGGCUAAUACUGCAUAGUAUCUGCGGAUUAAAGGGGGCUUAGGCUCUUGCUUUAAGAUGAACCCAAGUGGGAUUAGCUAGUUGGUGAGGUAAUGGCUCACCAAGGCGACGAUCCCUAGCUGGUCUGAGAGGAUGAUCAGCCACACUGGAACUGAGACACGGUCCAGACUCCUACGGGAGGCAGCAGUGGGGAAUAUUGCACAAUGGGCGAAAGCCUGAUGCAGCCAUGCCGCGUGUGUGAAGAAGGCCCUAGGGUUGUAAAGCACUUUCAGUCAGGAGGAAAGGUUAGUAGUUAAUACCUGCUAGCUGUGACGUUACUGACAGAAGAAGCACCGGCUAACUUCGUGCCAGCAGCCGCGGUAAUACGGAGGGUGCGAGCGUUAAUCGGAAUUACUGGGCGUAAAGCGCAUGCAGGCGGUCUGUUAAGCAAGAUGUGAAAGCCCGGGGCUCAACCUCGGAACAGCAUUUUGAACUGGCAGACUAGAGUCCUGUAGAGGGGAGUAGAAUUUCA
This 666-nucleotide ribosomal RNA is filed under the name uncultured Vibrionaceae bacterium. RNAcentral's name for it is "bacterial SSU rRNA". It matches the Rfam family "Bacterial small subunit ribosomal RNA", at positions 1 to 671 of the family's 1533-position model. Lineage: Bacteria; Pseudomonadati; Pseudomonadota; Gammaproteobacteria; Vibrionales; Vibrionaceae. The record is from RNAcentral.